UCCCUUGUGGCUCAGCUGGUAAAGAAUCUGCCUGCAAUGCGGAAGACCUGGGUUCUAUCUCUGCUUGGGAA
RNAcentral lists this transfer RNA (71 nucleotides) under Ovis aries (sheep). It matches the Rfam family "tRNA". From Rfam's summary of the family: Transfer RNA (tRNA) molecules are approximately 80 nucleotides in length. Their secondary structure includes four short double-helical elements and three loops (D, anti-codon, and T loops). Lineage: Eukaryota; Metazoa; Chordata; Mammalia; Artiodactyla; Bovidae. The record is from Rfam by way of RNAcentral.